Molecule: ribosomal RNA, 463 nt
Filed under: uncultured bacterium
Lineage: Bacteria
Description: partial 16S ribosomal RNA
Rfam family: Bacterial small subunit ribosomal RNA
Source: RNAcentral
UGGGGAAUAUUGCACAAUGGGCGAAAGCCUGAUGCAGCAACGCCGCGUGAGUGAUGAAGGUCUUCGGAUUGUAAAGCUCUGUCUUUUGGGACGAUAAUGACGGUACCAAAGGAGGAAGCCACGGCUAACUACGUGCCAGCAGCCGCGGUAAUACGUAGGUGGCGAGCGUUGUCCGGAUUUACUGGGCGUAAAGGGUGCGUAGGCGGAUGUUUAAGUGAGAUGUGAAAUACCCGGGCUUAACUUGGGUGCUGCAUUUCAAACUGGAUAUCUAGAGUGCAGGAGAGGAGAAUGGAAUUUCCUAGUGUAGCGGUGAAAUGCGUAGAGAUUAGGAAGAACACCAGUGGCGAAGGCGAUUCUCUGGACUGUAACUGACGCUGAGGCACGAAAGCGUGGGUAGCGAACAGGAUUAGAUACCCUGGUAGUCCACGCCGUAAACGAUGAGUACUAGGUGUAGGAGGUAUCG